This 572-nucleotide ribosomal RNA is filed under the name uncultured bacterium. RNAcentral describes it as "partial 16S ribosomal RNA". It matches the Rfam family "Bacterial small subunit ribosomal RNA", at positions 355 to 919 of the family's 1533-position model. The record is from RNAcentral.
UGGGGAAUUUUGGACAAUGGGCGAAAGCCUGAUCCAGCAAUGCCGCGUGUGUGAAGAAGGCCUUCGGGUUGUAAAGCACUUUUGUCCGGAAAGAAAUCCUUGGCUCUAAUACAGUCGGGGGAUGACGGUACCGGAAGAAUAAGCACCGGCUAACUACGUGCCAGCAGCCGCAGUAAUACGUAGGGUGCAAGCGUUAAUCGGAAUUACUGGGCGUAAAGCGUGCGCAGGCGGUUUGCUAAGACCGAUGUGAAAUCCCCGGGCUCAACCUGGGAACUGCAUUGGUGACUGGCAGGCUAGAGUAUGGCAGAGGGGGGUAGAAUUCCACGUGUAGCAGUGAAAUGCGUAGAGAUGUGGAGGAAUACCGAUGGCGAAGGCAGCCCCCUGGGCCAAUACUGACGCUCAUGCACGAAAGCGUGGGGGAGCAAACAGGAUUAGAUACCCUGGUAGUCCACGCCCUAAACGAUGUCAACUAGUUGUUGGGGAUUCAUUUCCUUAGUAACGUAGCUAACGCGUGAAGUUGACCGCCUGGGGAGUACGGUCGCAAGAUUAAAACUUAAAUGAAUUGACGGGGU